RNAcentral lists this ribosomal RNA (548 nucleotides) under uncultured bacterium. Its description in RNAcentral is "bacterial SSU rRNA". It matches the Rfam family "Archaeal small subunit ribosomal RNA", at positions 728 to 1276 of the family's 1478-position model. The record is from RNAcentral.
AAUAGAUACCCGGGUAGUCCUAGCCGUAAACGAUACUCGCUAGGUGUCGGCCACGGUGCGACCGUUGUCGGUGCCGUAGGGAAGCCGUGAAGCGAGCCACCUGGGAAGUACGGCCGCAAGGCUGAAACUUAAAGGAAUUGGCGGGGGAGCACCACAACGGGUGGAGCUUGCGGUUUAAUUGGAUUCAACGCCGGAAAUCUUACCGGGACCGACAGCAACAUGAAGGCCAGGCUGAAGACUUUGCCGGAUUAGCUGAGAGGUGGUGCAUGGCCGUCGUCAGUUCGUACUGUGAAGCAUCCUGUUAAGUCAGGCAACGAGCGAGACCCACGCCCACAGUUGCCAGCGUACUCUCCGGAGUGACGGGUACACUGUGGGGACCGCCGCUGCUAAAGCGGAGGAAGGAAUGGGCAACGGUAGGUCAGUAUGCCCCGAAUAUCCCGGGCCACACGCGAGCUACAAUGGUUGGUACAAUGGGUAUCUACCCCGAAAGGGGACGGAAAUCUCCUAAAACCAAUCUUAGUUCGGAUUGAGGCUGCAACUCGCCCUCA